UAGGUUCUAUGCUGAAGGCCCUAGUGAGUUAAAACCUCUGCAGCCUUACCCGUUUGAUGGAGAAAAAUUCCACUGGCUUCCAUUAGCUGCCAAACUUACCUUCUCCUUCGAUCAUCCCCUCGCUCCCUCUUAUCUUUUUGCCCUUCAGCACUCCUUCUCCGUCGCUCGCAGGUUUAUUGCUUGCUUUCUCGCUCCUUUUCUUUUGGAAACAAAUUACAGAAUGAAAGGGUUAGAAGGCUCGACAUUAAUCUCUUCUGCGAGGACAAGGGCAAUGAUUCGGAACUAUGGAGUCACAGCGCUUCCAUCGUCGAUGAGGGCAAUACGAGCUCGACGUUCUCCGGAAGGACUUUAAUUUCAUGAGCAAAGAGAUUGCUCAGCUAAAGAUUGUGAGUCCUCUCUCUUCGUGUUUGGGUGCCUUGGAGUCAAGUUUCACUGUUUUUUUUCUUUUUUUGUUUUCGUGAGGAAUCGUUCACAUCGGUAAUCGGAAUGUUGAUGGGAGCGUAGAUGAAAAUCAGAGGCAAACGGCAGAGAAGAUGGAGGGGCAAAAUCUUCAAAAUAGACACCUGCCGCAAACCAGGCGACCCUAACCCUAAUCCCAGUAGAUGGAGGUUUCCGGCAAUAGCCGUCAUUUUCUCGUAUUAUCCUUUACCACCUAUUGCAGAAAUUUGAAGGUUACAACCACCUUCUCCUCUCGAAGCCCGCCGUCUUCUCCUCUCGAGGCCCGCAGCCCGCAGCUUAGCGAUUAGUUUGUUGGGGACUAUGGGGCCGCGCUCCCCCCAAAAAGUAAUUUUUUCCUUACAUAGCAUCUCAACAAUAUACUCGCGGUGCCCCAGCUCCGAGACUAGCAACGAACGGAAGGCAAUAUCACCGCACUCAAUCAAAUUUCAGAAUUUGACAGCACUACACUGCAGCGCUUAGAUGCAGUGUACCGACGUCCAUUGGUGCACCGCAAUGCCACUUCGUGGCACCCCGAUGUCCAUAACUAAUUUUGGAUAGUUUUUUUACUUAUCGUCGGUUUUGUUGAUUGAGGUGUGUGGGAUUUCCUAUUUAUCUUAUGAGAAGGAGAGGAGAGGAGUCUUCUAAAGUGUGGAGAUGCUUUGGUGAUGUAAUUUGUAUGAUUCUUCUCAUUUUCUUUAUAAUGGAUUUUUUUGUGCAGUAUGGUAUUAAGAUUUGUACCUUAUUUUUGUGGGAUCAAAUUAUAAAAUACAAUUAUAGAAGAAGU
Long non-coding RNA from Phalaenopsis equestris, 1222 nucleotides. RefSeq lists it as uncharacterized. The record is from RefSeq and is a predicted model, not a curated record. Lineage: Eukaryota; Viridiplantae; Streptophyta; Magnoliopsida; Asparagales; Orchidaceae. The transcript has 4 exons.